Molecule: long non-coding RNA, 208 nt
Filed under: Elaeis guineensis (African oil palm)
Lineage: Eukaryota; Viridiplantae; Streptophyta; Magnoliopsida; Arecales; Arecaceae
Description: long non-coding RNA (EGUI_LNC045856)
Source: RNAcentral
AUCAAUCUAGGAGCAACAAUCAUCUUCCAUCUCAUCAUCAUUUAUAAACUAAUCAUCGCCCUCCAAAUUAUCAAGAUUAAAUACAAAAUUGACUUCCACUUCGUUGGAUGGCAGAUCAACCCUAUUCAAAGGAGUUGUCAUAAGUUCUUCAUCAACAAGGAGCUCAGUCAAUGUUUAUUCUUCCUCUUGAAAAAUUUUUUCUUCAUCU